UUGGGACACUUAUUGAAAGACAAUAACUGGAUCUAUACCCGGGGAAGAGCUAAGGUUGUAAUGCAAAUGGGAAUCCCAAUGCAGCAUGUACUAAGAAAACUCUAGUAACUGCUCUAAGACACAUUUCCUGGUCUACACUGUCACUGGAACAUUGAAAUGGAAAACUGAUCAGCACAUACUAGUUCAUUAAAAUUAUCAUGGAAAGGACCCCAAAGAGAGAAAUGUGUGACAGGCAACAUUCUCAAGGCAUUUUGGAGCGUGCAUCAACUCAACUCACUUCAUGAAAAAUAAGAGAAGAUGGAAUCCUGCUUUUCCUUUCAGGGUAAAUAAUAGUCUCCAUGAAAUAAAAAAAAUCUCAAUGAAGAACUCCAGACUGAACAGUGGGCAGAAUGAAGUCCACUGAUUGGCCAUUAUGAUGAAUUUAAGUGUCCAGCCACCCAUCCCAUGAAAGCC
Molecule: long non-coding RNA, 453 nt
Filed under: Mus pahari (shrew mouse)
Lineage: Eukaryota; Metazoa; Chordata; Mammalia; Rodentia; Muridae
Description: lncRNA (MGP_PahariEiJ_G0004704.1)
Source: RNAcentral